CUGGCGGCAGGCUUAACACAUGCAAGUCGAGCGGAGUGAUGGUGCUUGCACUAUCACUUAGCGGCGGACGGGUGAGUAAUGCUUAGGAAUCUGCCUAUUAGUGGGGGACAACAUUUCGAAAGGAAUGCUAAUACCGCAUACGUCCUACGGGAGAAAGCAGGGGAUCUUCGGACCUUGCGCUAAUAGAUGAGCCUAAGUCGGAUUAGCUAGUUGGUGGGGUAAAGGCCUACCAAGGCGACGAUCUGUAGCGGGUCUGAGAGGAUGAUCCGCCACACUGGGACUGAGACACGGCCCAGACUCCUACGGGAGGCAGCAGUGGGGAAUAUUGGACAAUGGGCGCAAGCCUGAUCCAGCCAUGCCGCGUGUGUGAAGAAGGCCUUAUGGUUGUAAAGCACUUUAAGCGAGGAGGAGGCUACUGAAGUUAAUACCUUCAGAUAGUGGACGUUACUCGCAGAAUAAGCACCGGCUAACUCUGUGCCAGCAGCCGCGGUAAUACAGAGGGUGCAAGCGUUAAUCGGAUUUACUGGGCGUAAAGCGCGCGUAGGCGGCUAAUUAAGUCAAAUGUGAAAUCCCCGAGCUUAACUUGGGAAUUGCAUUCGAUACUGGUUAGCUAGAGUGUGGGAGAGGAUGGUAGAAUUCCAGGUGUAGCGGUGAAAUGCGUAGAGAUCUGGAGGAAUACCGAUGGCGAAGGCAGCCAUCUGGCCUAACACUGACGCUGAGGUGCGAAAGCAUGGGGAGCAAACAGGAUUAGAUACCCUGGUAGUCCAUGCCGUAAACGAUGUCUACUAGCCGUUGGGGCCUUUGAGGCUUUAGUGGCGCAGCUAACGCGAUAAGUAGACCGCCUGGGGAGUACGGUCGCAAGACUAAAACUCAAAUGAAUUGACGGGGGCCCGCACAAGCGGUGGAGCAUGUGGUUUAAUUCGAUGCAACGCGAAGAACCUUACCUGGCCUUGACAUAGUAAGAACUUUCCAGAGAUGGAUUGGUGCCUUCGGAAACUUACAUACAGGUGCUGCAUGGCUGUCGUCAGCUCGUGUCGUGAGAUGUUGGGUUAAGUCCCGCAACGAGCGCAACCCUUUUCCUUAUUUGCCAGCG
RNAcentral lists this ribosomal RNA (1093 nucleotides) under Acinetobacter sp. EA_S_3. Its description in RNAcentral is "bacterial SSU rRNA". It matches the Rfam family "Bacterial small subunit ribosomal RNA", at positions 36 to 1123 of the family's 1533-position model. The record is from RNAcentral. Lineage: Bacteria; Pseudomonadati; Pseudomonadota; Gammaproteobacteria; Moraxellales; Moraxellaceae.